This 468-nucleotide ribosomal RNA is filed under the name uncultured bacterium. RNAcentral's name for it is "partial 16S ribosomal RNA". It matches the Rfam family "Bacterial small subunit ribosomal RNA", at positions 28 to 507 of the family's 1533-position model. The record is from RNAcentral.
GACGAACGCUGGCGGCGUGCUUAACACAUGCAAGUCGAACGGUGAUGCUCCAGCUUGCUGGAGUGGAUCAGUGGCGAACGGGUGAGUAACACGUGAGCAACCUGCCCCAGACUCUGGAAUAAGCGCUGGAAACGGCGCCUAAUACUGGAUACGAAACUGGCCCGCAUGGGCAUGGUUUGGAAAGUUUUUCGGUUUGGGAUGGGCUCGCGGCCUAUCAGCUUGUUGGUGAGGUAAUGGCUCACCAAGGCGACGACGGGUAGCCGGCCUGAGAGGGCGACCGGCCACACUGGGACUGAGACACGGCCCAGACUCCUACGGGAGGCAGCAGUGGGGAAUAUUGCACAAUGGGCGAAAGCCUGAUGCAGCGACGCCGCGUGAGGGAUGACGGCCUUCGGGUUGUAAACCUCUUUCAGCAGGGAAGAAGCGAAAGUGACGGUACCUGCAGAAGAAGCACCGGCUAACUACGUG